This 87-nucleotide transfer RNA is filed under the name Candidatus Latescibacterota bacterium. Its description in RNAcentral is "tRNA-Leu". It matches the Rfam family "tRNA". Rfam says of the family: Transfer RNA (tRNA) molecules are approximately 80 nucleotides in length. The record is from RNAcentral. Lineage: Bacteria; Pseudomonadati; Candidatus Latescibacterota.
GCCGAAGUGGUGGAAUUGGCAGACACGCUAGCUUGAGGGGCUAGUGUCCGCAAGGACGUGUCGGUUCGAGUCCGGCCUUCGGCACCA